UACGUAGGUGACCAGCGUUGUCCGGAUUUACUGGGCGUAAAGAGCGCGCAGGCGGUCGUUCAAGUCGAGUGUGAAAGCCCCCGGCUCAACUGGGGAGGGUCGUUCGAUACUGAUCGACUCGAAGGCAGGAGAGGGAAGCGGAAUUCCCGGUGUAGUGGUGAAAUGCGUAGAUAUCGGGAGGAACACCAGUGGCGAAGGCGGCUUCCUGGCCUGUUCUUGACGCUGAGGCGCGAAAGCUAGGGGAGCAAACGGG
Molecule: ribosomal RNA, 253 nt
Filed under: uncultured bacterium
Lineage: Bacteria
Description: partial 16S ribosomal RNA
Rfam family: Bacterial small subunit ribosomal RNA
Source: RNAcentral